This 373-nucleotide long non-coding RNA is filed under the name Marmota monax (woodchuck). The record is from RNAcentral. Lineage: Eukaryota; Metazoa; Chordata; Mammalia; Rodentia; Sciuridae.
GAUGUUUCUGAGGUAGGGGAAUAUAGGAGUUCUCAGGAUCUAAGGAAGUAGCAAUUGGUAUUUAUUUUUCAGUGUUUCUCUAGCCCAGGGAAUAAUCAGAAAAGAGAAUACAUUUAGAUAAUUGUUCAUGGUCUGCAAGAUGAAGCACAUAGGGCCAGGAUAAGCAUCAGGUCAACGGCUCCUUUCCUGCAGCUUGAGGGCCAGAGCUCCUGAAAACUAGGGAAUAAGGUUCACUUUUCAGAUGGUUGUUAAGGAGGUGAGAGGAAAACCAUCUUGUAAAAAGUGUGAGGGUCAGAUGUGCCAAGGCUGAAGUGAGCAGAGUUGAACACUUCUCUGCUUGAGGACUAUGAUAAAAAUUCUUUAUUUCUGGCAC